Molecule: long non-coding RNA, 356 nt
Filed under: Brassica napus (rape)
Lineage: Eukaryota; Viridiplantae; Streptophyta; Magnoliopsida; Brassicales; Brassicaceae
Description: long non-coding RNA (BNAP_LNC017719)
Source: RNAcentral
CCAAACUUGAUUUCACAUGUGAAAUUUUGUUAUGGCACAAACACAUUUUAGUAAUCAAUUUGUAACACAUUUUAGUAAUCAAUUUGUAGUAGUAUGUUUUAAAAUGUUGAUCAUGUUAUACUUAGUCAAGCAACUAUGAAGAAAAAUCAGGUAUAUCAUGUACCCAAAUUAUUGUAUGUUCAUGUAUAGUUUUUUCCUAAAAUGUAUCUGCUUUACGUUGUCACAAUAUAACCAAAAUUGAUCUUCAUCGUGCGGCUUCAAUUAAUUCUACCACGAUAUAAACUGGAACUGAAAUAUAUUGACGUUUUAAUUAAUUUCGGAAAAUCGAUUCAGAUGUUACUAACACAAAAAAAAAA